Molecule: ribosomal RNA, 2902 nt
Filed under: Klebsiella variicola At-22
Lineage: Bacteria; Pseudomonadati; Pseudomonadota; Gammaproteobacteria; Enterobacterales; Enterobacteriaceae
Description: bacterial LSU rRNA
Rfam family: Bacterial large subunit ribosomal RNA
Source: RNAcentral
UUAAGCGACUAAGCGUACACGGUGGAUGCCCUGGCAGUCAGAGGCGAUGAAGGACGUGCUAAUCUGCGAAAAGCGUCGGUAAGGUGAUAUGAACCGUUAUGGCCGGCGAUGUCCGAAUGGGGAAACCCAGUGCAAUUCGUUGCACUAUCGUUAACUGAAUACAUAGGUUAACGAGGCGAACCGGGGGAACUGAAACAUCUAAGUACCCCGAGGAAAAGAAAUCAACCGAGAUUCCCCCAGUAGCGGCGAGCGAACGGGGAGCAGCCCAGAGUCUGAAUCAGCUUGUGUGUUAGUGGAACGGUCUGGAAAGUCCGACGGUACAGGGUGAUAGUCCCGUACACCAAAAUGCACAGGUUGUGAACUCGAAGAGUAGGGCGGGACACGUGGUAUCCUGUCUGAAUAUGGGGGGACCAUCCUCCAAGGCUAAAUACUCCUGACUGACCGAUAGUGAACCAGUACCGUGAGGGAAAGGCGAAAAGAACCCCGGCGAGGGGAGUGAAAAAGAACCUGAAACCGUGUACGUACAAGCAGUGGGAGCACCUUCGGGUGUGACUGCGUACCUUUUGUAUAAUGGGUCAGCGACUUAUAUUCUGUAGCAAGGUUAACCGUAUAGGGGAGCCGCAGGGAAACCGAGUCUUAACUGGGCGUUAAGUUGCAGGGUAUAGACCCGAAACCCGGUGAUCUAGCCAUGGGCAGGUUGAAGGUUGGGUAACACUAACUGGAGGACCGAACCGACUAAUGUUGAAAAAUUAGCGGAUGACUUGUGGCUGGGGGUGAAAGGCCAAUCAAACCGGGAGAUAGCUGGUUCUCCCCGAAAGCUAUUUAGGUAGCGCCUCGUGAACUCAUCUUCGGGGGUAGAGCACUGUUUCGGCUAGGGGGUCAUCCCGACUUACCAACCCGAUGCAAACUACGAAUACCGAAGAAUGUUAUCACGGGAGACACACGGCGGGUGCUAACGUCCGUCGUGAAGAGGGAAACAACCCAGACCGCCAGCUAAGGUCCCAAAGUCAUGGUUAAGUGGGAAACGAUGUGGGAAGGCACAGACAGCCAGGAUGUUGGCUUAGAAGCAGCCAUCAUUUAAAGAAAGCGUAAUAGCUCACUGGUCGAGUCGGCCUGCGCGGAAGAUGUAACGGGGCUAAACCAUGCACCGAAGCUGCGGCAGCGACACUAUGUGUUGUUGGGUAGGGGAGCGUUCUGUAAGCCUGCGAAGGUGGCCUGUGAGGGUUGCUGGAGGUAUCAGAAGUGCGAAUGCUGACAUAAGUAACGAUAAAGCGGGUGAAAAGCCCGCUCGCCGGAAGACCAAGGGUUCCUGUCCAACGUUAAUCGGGGCAGGGUGAGUCGACCCCUAAGGCGAGGCCGAAAGGCGUAGUCGAUGGGAAACAGGUUAAUAUUCCUGUACUUGGUGUUACUGCGAAGGGGGGACGGAGAAGGCUAUGUUAGCCGGGCGACGGUUGUCCCGGUUUAAGCAUGUAGGCGGAGGUUCCAGGUAAAUCCGGUACCUUUUAACGCUGAGGUGUGAUGACGAGGCACUACGGUGCUGAAGUAACAAAUGCCCUGCUUCCAGGAAAAGCCUCUAAGCAUCAGGUAACAUUAAAUCGUACCCCAAACCGACACAGGUGGUCAGGUAGAGAAUACCAAGGCGCUUGAGAGAACUCGGGUGAAGGAACUAGGCAAAAUGGUGCCGUAACUUCGGGAGAAGGCACGCUGGUGUGUAGGUGAAGUCCCUGCGGAUGGAGCUGAGACCAGUCGAAGAUACCAGCUGGCUGCAACUGUUUAUUAAAAACACAGCACUGUGCAAACACGAAAGUGGACGUAUACGGUGUGACGCCUGCCCGGUGCCGGAAGGUUAAUUGAUGGGGUUAUCCGUAAGGAGAAGCUCUUGAUCGAAGCCCCGGUAAACGGCGGCCGUAACUAUAACGGUCCUAAGGUAGCGAAAUUCCUUGUCGGGUAAGUUCCGACCUGCACGAAUGGCGUAAUGAUGGCCAGGCUGUCUCCACCCGAGACUCAGUGAAAUUGAACUCGCUGUGAAGAUGCAGUGUACCCGCGGCAAGACGGAAAGACCCCGUGAACCUUUACUAUAGCUUGACACUGAACAUUGAGCCUUGAUGUGUAGGAUAGGUGGGAGGCUUUGAAGCGUGGACGCCAGUCUGCGUGGAGCCAACCUUGAAAUACCACCCUUUAAUGUUUGAUGUUCUAACGUUGGCCCGUAAUCCGGGUUGCGGACAGUGUCUGGUGGGUAGUUUGACUGGGGCGGUCUCCUCCCAAAGAGUAACGGAGGAGCACGAAGGUUAGCUAAUCCUGGUCGGACAUCAGGAGGUUAGUGCAAUGGCAUAAGCUAGCUUGACUGCGAGCGUGACGGCGCGAGCAGGUGCGAAAGCAGGUCAUAGUGAUCCGGUGGUUCUGAAUGGAAGGGCCAUCGCUCAACGGAUAAAAGGUACUCCGGGGAUAACAGGCUGAUACCGCCCAAGAGUUCAUAUCGACGGCGGUGUUUGGCACCUCGAUGUCGGCUCAUCACAUCCUGGGGCUGAAGUAGGUCCCAAGGGUAUGGCUGUUCGCCAUUUAAAGUGGUACGCGAGCUGGGUUUAGAACGUCGUGAGACAGUUCGGUCCCUAUCUGCCGUGGGCGCUGGAGAAUUGAGGGGGGCUGCUCCUAGUACGAGAGGACCGGAGUGGACGCAUCACUGGUGUUCGGGUUGUCAUGCCAAUGGCACUGCCCGGUAGCUAAAUGCGGAAGAGAUAAGUGCUGAAAGCAUCUAAGCACGAAACUUGCCCCGAGAUGAGUUCUCCCUGAGACUUUAAGUCUCCUGAAGGAACGUUGAAGACGACGACGUUGAUAGGCCGGGUGUGUAAGCGCAGCGAUGCGUUGAGCUAACCGGUACUAAUGAACCGUGAGGCUUAACCUU